This 29-nucleotide non-coding RNA is filed under the name Mus musculus (house mouse). Lineage: Eukaryota; Metazoa; Chordata; Mammalia; Rodentia; Muridae. The record is from RNAcentral.
UGGGAUUUGAUGCUAGUUACAGGAGGUGG